CUUUUUUUCUGGUAAUUCAUGAAGGUGAGACAUUAGCUGAAGUUAAAGUGCGGAUACAGAAAAAAUUACAGGUUCCUGAUGAGGAGUUUGCGAAGUGGAAGUUUGCAUUUUUGUCACUGGGUCGUCCUGAAUACCUUCAAGACUCCGAUAUUGUAUCCAGUCGAUUUCAGAGGAGGGACGUCUAUGGUGCUUGGGAGCAGUAUCUUGGACUGGAGCACUCUGACAAUGCUCCUAAAAGGUCAUUUGCUGCUAAUCAGAAUCGACACACAUUUGAGAAGCCAGUGAAAAUCUACAAUUAGGAAAGAAUGAUGAGUUGAAACUAGUCCCAACUUCUAUCCAGGAUCCGAAUGACAUUUGAACUGUUGCAAAAUGAGAGAAGCUUGCAUUGAAGAGGAAAUUAUUAGUUGGUGUUAGAUGUGUAAUUCUUUUCUGUAGGGCAGAGAGGACUUUGGCAAAAGACCUCAAUAGUUUUGACUUCUCUCUUGUGCCUUUGUCUCAGGUGAAAUAGAUGGCAUAAAUUGGAUUGUAAUUUAGUACAUAAGAUUUUGUGGGGGAUGUAUAGAGGGUAUAGGUGUGUGUACUUGAUUAUUUCUUUUUAUUAUUUUUAUUUUUUUUAAAUCAUCCCUUUUGUGGAUUUUCUUUAGUUGUAUUAGAGAAUGGUUAUAGGUUGUCUGUAUAAUGUGUUAUUUGGUUACUGAUUCUGGGGCUUCCAGGAUUUGUGCAAUUUCAAAACCAAUUUUAUCUUUAAAAAAAAAAAAAAAAAAA
RNAcentral lists this unclassified non-coding RNA (765 nucleotides) under Hevea brasiliensis (rubber tree). Lineage: Eukaryota; Viridiplantae; Streptophyta; Magnoliopsida; Malpighiales; Euphorbiaceae. The record is from RNAcentral.